AAACCCUGUGGGCCUGCCUGCUUUUCCAUUAACUUUAUCACCCAUAUUUCCGAGAAGAGAGACAGAAUGUGUCUGUCUCUCUUCUCGGAAAUAUGGGUGAUAAAGUUAAUGGAGAAGCAGGCAGGCCCACAGGGUUC
Podarcis lilfordi (Lilford's wall lizard) is the source of this 137-nucleotide non-coding RNA. The record is from the annotation of a GenBank genome assembly. NCBI's taxonomy places the organism in Eukaryota, Metazoa, Chordata, Lepidosauria, Squamata, Lacertidae.